UACGUAGGGGGCAAGCGUUGUCCGGAUUUAUUGGUCGUAAAGAGCUCGUAGGUGGUUCGGUAAGUCGGAUGUGAAAUCUCCAGGCUCAACCUGGAGGGGUCAUUCGAUACUGCCGUGACUAGAGGUCGGUAGGGGAGUGUGGAAUUCCUGGUGGAGCGGUGAAAUGCGCAGAUAUCAGGAGGAACACCCGUAGCGAAGGCGGCCAGCUGGGCCGUCCCUGACGCUGAGGCGCGAAGGCGUGGGGAGCGAACGGG
Molecule: ribosomal RNA, 254 nt
Filed under: uncultured bacterium
Lineage: Bacteria
Description: partial 16S ribosomal RNA
Rfam family: Bacterial small subunit ribosomal RNA
Source: RNAcentral